GACGAACGCUGGCGGCGUGCUUAACACAUGCAAGUCGAACGGAAAGGCCCUGCUUGCAGGGUACUCGAGUGGCGAACGGGUGAGUAACACGUGGGUGAUCUGCCCUGCACUUCGGGAUAAGCCUGGGAAACUGGGUCUAAUACCGGAUAGGAGCCAUUUUUAGUGUGAUGGUUGGAAAGUUUUUUCGGUGUAGGAUGAGCUCGCGGCCUAUCAGCUUGUUGGUGGGGUAAUGGCCUACCAAGGCGGCGACGGGUAGCCGGCCUGAGAGGGUGGACGGCCACAUUGGGGCUGUGAUACGGCCCAGACUCCUACGGGAGGCAGAGGUGGGGAAUAUUGCACAAUGGGCGCAAGCCUGAUGCAGCGACGCCGCGUGGGGGAUGACGGCCUUCGGGUUGUAAACUCCUUUCGCUAGGGACGAAGCUUUUUGUGACGGUACCUAGAUAAGAAGCACCGGCUAACUACGUG
RNAcentral lists this ribosomal RNA (465 nucleotides) under uncultured bacterium. RNAcentral's name for it is "partial 16S ribosomal RNA". It matches the Rfam family "Bacterial small subunit ribosomal RNA", at positions 28 to 507 of the family's 1533-position model. The record is from RNAcentral.